UACGGAGGGUGCAAGCGUUAUCCGGAUUCACUGGGUUAAAGGGUGCGUAGGCGGGCAGGUAAGUCCGUGGUGAAAUCUCUGAGCUUAACUCAGAAACUGCCAUGGAUACUAUUUGUCUUGAAUGUUGUGGGAGGUAAGGCGGAAUAAUGGUCAUGUAGCGGUGAAAUGCUUAGAUAUGACAUAGAAUACCAAUUGCGAAGGCAGCUUACUACACAAAUAUUGACGCUGAGGCACGAAAGCGUGGGGAUCAAACAGG
RNAcentral lists this ribosomal RNA (256 nucleotides) under uncultured bacterium. RNAcentral's name for it is "partial 16S ribosomal RNA". It matches the Rfam family "Bacterial small subunit ribosomal RNA", at positions 524 to 776 of the family's 1533-position model. The record is from RNAcentral.